RNAcentral lists this long non-coding RNA (205 nucleotides) under Vigna radiata. Its description in RNAcentral is "long non-coding RNA (VRAD_LNC014463)". The record is from RNAcentral. Lineage: Eukaryota; Viridiplantae; Streptophyta; Magnoliopsida; Fabales; Fabaceae.
CGGAAAUACCCUAUGUGAGAUUUGAGCCACUUGAUAUUCUUUCUUGUGUGUGAUAUGUCUCUUGAUUGCUUACACUUAUGCCUUGGCUUGACUCUUUUUGAUGAUUAUUGACUGAUAUGCAUGUUUGAAAGCGAUAAAGGUAGUUUUGUUGUUGAGCCUCUCUAGCCAGAUGAGCCUACCUUGUUGUGAUCCUUUGAUAGCCCCU